ACGUGAGCGCAGCUCAGGAGUAGAAAACGAUGCGCAAGCUGCAAUUCGAUAAUAAUUUCUUUCGACCUCCUUGUUAAGCGUUGAAAGAGGGAAAAAUUUUCCGUAUUGUCGAGCGUUUACCCUCUAGACGAAAGGCCAGCGAGCUGGACGAGUCAGCCGGGCGAGCGCUCCGUGCUCCCCCGGCGGCGUGUGGUGUGGCGAGACCUGCGCAACUCGUCCGUAAAACGCACUUCAUUCUAGGAAUAAGGACGGUAAGGCUGCAUCUAGGCGUCGCCCUGGUCCCAAUGGUCUCCUAGCAUAUCGCUUCGCGGUGCCGCGGGCAGUAGGUCUGUCUGUACAGCUUGCAGGCUCACAAAAUGAUUACGAAUCCCGAACCUAUGUCGGAUGAACGACGACUCGAGACGACGCCCGCAGUGGUAUGCCAAAGCCGAUCUGUCUCUGUGAUGCAUCCGCUCCAGAGGUAUCAGCGCUAAAAGGGGUUUUCACGGCUGACACUCGGCGUACGAUAGCAUGUACGAAACGACCAGGAUAUCCGAGAGGAAUUCUAAGAAAUGGAACUUGAAGGUAGGUGCUUCAUGAUGGACGCUUUUUAGAUUACCAUUAUUCAUCCUGCUAUCUGGGAUCCAUGGUCCAUGGAAACGUUUUUUCAUCAGAAGAAAAAAUCUCCUCUUGUAAGCGCACAGCGCCCGCAGCAGGCGCAUCGUGCAACGUCGAUCGACGCUAUCACGCCAGUCCGCGAGCGUGCGCCGUGAACCUCAUCGACAAUCUCCUCAUGAAGCCGGUCAGCACGGCGCGCUCGCCGGGAUACCUCGUUAUACUGAAUGAACCUACAUGCCCUUGAAAACAACUCACUGGAUACGGCUGGCGACGUGCUCGCCAGCAGCUGUUGCUGCGCGUGCUCUUUUAUCGCGACUCUGAGGCUUCCUGCUGGUGGCCGGGUAUCGAUGUCGGCAACAGAUGAUCAAUGCGCACAAUAAGUUCCGAGUCUGUGUAUGGAAGCGGCUCAAGUUGCAUGGAUUUUGCGAGCGCUGGUGGAACAAAACGCCCGCCAAGGUAAUGGGCGCGCCCUUGCCAGAAAGCAGCGCAGCGUUUCGGGGCUGUCAGUGAAACCCAAACGUUCGCCAUUACCGCCAGGCUCGAGGCUGGUGCACGCUGAUCGCCGCUUGUCGAAGAGCGCGGGUCGGAUGCGGUGCGCUCUGCGGGACGCAUGGCCUCUGGCGGACCCCGCUCCACAUCCCAGCCAGAGGGGAUGUCCACCGCAAGCACCGUUGUCGCCCGGGGCGAUGCGUUCAUAAGACGGAUCAGCGUGGCGAAUGGAUCGCGCAUCGGUCGAUCCGCUCGAAACGAGAAACCGAAAAGGGCAUCGAUCAGGACGUCUGCCUCGCAGAUCGUCUGCUCAUAGGCUGCAGCGUCUACGAAGCGCACACCGUGGCUCAUUGCCUGUUUCACGAGGCGUUGGAAAUGGGGAUGCGAUCCCGGUUUCGGAUAAAUGGCGAAGACAUGUUCGUACCCCAGAAUGCAUAUGUGGCGAGCGGCAACGAGACCGUCACCGCCAUUGUUCCCGGGACCGCAGACUGCGACAAUUCGCUGACUGCGUUUAGGAUUCUCGCGAGCUGCUGCCAAGGCCACCGCAAGCCCGGCGAGUUCCAUGAGCUGCUCUAGGCUGUAGCCGAUAGUUUCUGACAUGAGCGCUUCAUCGACGCGUUGCGCCUCGGCCUGCGAUAGCAAGCGAAGCGUGCUUUGAUUAGCGAUACUCGACAUACAAAGCCAGCGCCCUGUAUUAGACCUUGUAAUCCUACGACCCAGAUUGAAACGAGAGAUUGCCAGUUGUCGAAAGGUCAGACAAGUCGUCAGCGGAGGACGCCAGUGCAAAAUGAACAUGAAGACGCUGCCGCCUGAAGCGUUGAGGCGUGCAACGGAGUCCUUUCUUUCUCGGCUUUCACGUUCAGAAGCUAACAGAGACCUCCCGUCCACCAACCGCAGCUCUGACGCCCACAAGCGCCAAGACUAUCACGACGUAAGACCAAUAUCAACGGGUUUCGCGAGCAGUUAGACCACUGGUCGAGAAGCUCCGCGACGACCUUUCGUAUAUAACGGUGCUGGCUGGGCAGCGGUCUCGAGUGCCGGUACCUACGCGUUUCACGCCAAACAGUGACGUGGUAGAGUCUAGGAAACACUGCUUUCAAACAGAAGAUGCAAUUGGAAAACGGAACGUGCGCUUGCGGACGUCGUGCUCGAAGACGCUCGCAGACUUUCGGUGUGUGGUCGUAUCGUUCGUUGUACAGGUGCGCGCUGCGGUCGGUGACCUCGGACGCGAAGCGCAGUGCCCCGGAGCGGGAGCCAAAGCGACCUCUGUGAAGGUCCAUGCAUCGCAGGGUGCGCGCACGGCAUGGAGUUGUAUGAGAACAAAGCCCAAGCCUCGUCUAGGCGCUGGUAUGGUUGAAUAUGUACACGAUGCGUUACUCGACGUUCGCUCGGCGAACAGUCUUGCAGAGAGCGUGCUUCUCAGGUUGCCCAGCGCUCUCGAUGCACAACGCGCUGGUAAAAGGUUUUCACGGA
Molecule: RNA transcript, 2559 nt
Organism: Cyanidioschyzon merolae strain 10D
Lineage: Eukaryota; Rhodophyta; Bangiophyceae; Cyanidiales; Cyanidiaceae
Exons: 1
Source: RefSeq, a predicted model, not a curated record